AUACUUACCUGGCAGGGGAGAUACAAUGAUCACGGAAGUGGUUUUCCCAGAGCGAGGCUUAUCCAUUGCGCUCCGGAUGUGCUGAUCCCUGCUAUUUCCCCAAAUGUGGGAAACUCAACUGCAUUAUUUGUGGUAGUGGGGGAGUGUGUUUGCACUUUCCCGUG
Small nuclear RNA from Neomonachus schauinslandi (Hawaiian monk seal), 164 nucleotides. RefSeq annotates it as U1 spliceosomal RNA. Lineage: Eukaryota; Metazoa; Chordata; Mammalia; Carnivora; Phocidae. The record is from RefSeq and is a predicted model, not a curated record. The transcript has a single exon.